This is a long non-coding RNA of Solea senegalensis (Senegalese sole), 433 nucleotides long. RefSeq lists it as uncharacterized. NCBI's taxonomy places the organism in Eukaryota, Metazoa, Chordata, Actinopteri, Pleuronectiformes, Soleidae. The record is from RefSeq and is a predicted model, not a curated record. The transcript is spliced from 3 exons.
UACAUGAUGUGAAUGUGUUGCUGUUCCAGGAUGAUUGCUGUGCUGUUUCCGUGAUGAAGACUCUGGCUCCAUCUGUUCCGGAUCUGACCGCUGCUCUCGGUUCCUUGCAUAUGGCGAACACAGGACGCCUCCCUGUUAAUUACAGAGGAGUUACCGGAGCGCAUCGUCUGAUGAUGGAGUAAAGGUUCACACACACACACACACACCGAGGAAUAAGAGCGACAUGCACUGGACUCAGGACUGCUGCGUCUUAAAGGUACAGUCCCCUCUGUGAAGGGCUUUCCCGCUGCAUCCUCCCACCCAGAGGAGGCGCCACGUGUCAGGUCGUGGAUGGGUCCUGAGAUCACUGGACAGCAUGUAAAGACCCUGACGCCGAUAUUAAAACACCACAACAAAUGCUCCGUGGUUUCGCUCGACACAUUCCACCCUGCUU